Molecule: ribosomal RNA, 524 nt
Filed under: uncultured beta proteobacterium
Lineage: Bacteria; Pseudomonadati; Pseudomonadota; Betaproteobacteria
Description: bacterial SSU rRNA
Rfam family: Bacterial small subunit ribosomal RNA
Source: RNAcentral
UCCUACGGGAGGCAGCAGUGGGGAAUUUUGGACAAUGGGGGCAACCCUGAUCCAGCAAUGCCGCGUGAGUGAAGAAGGCCUUCGGGUUGUAAAGCUCUUUUGUCAGGGAAGAAACGGUCCGGGCUAAUAUCCUGGGCUAAUGACGGUACCUGAAGAAUAAGCACCGGCUAACUACGUGCCAGCAGCCGCGGUAAUACGUAGGGUGCAAGCGUUAAUCGGAAUUACUGGGCGUAAAGCGUGCGCAGGCGGUUGUGCAAGACAGAUGUGAAAUCCCCGGGCUUAACCUGGGAAUUGCAUUUGUGACUGUACGGCUAGAGUGUGUCAGAGGGGGGUAGAAUUCCACGUGUAGCAGUGAAAUGCGUAGAGAUGUGGAGGAAUACCGAUGGCGAAGGCAGCCCCCUGGGAUAACACUGACGCUCAUGCACGAAAGCGUGGGGAGCAAACAGGAUUAGAUACCCUGGUAGUCCACGCCCUAAACGAUGUCAACUAGUUGUCGGGUCUUAAUUGACUUGGUGACGCAGCUA